UUUGACUUCCCGAAUGUGCCCAGCUUUGAUUAAUUUAUCAAUUUCAGCCUGUGCUGCCUCCUUUCUUUCAGCUGCGAGUAUUCUCCGCUUCUGCCGUAUAGGAGUAAAGCUACUGUCUAUGUUGAGCUCAUGGCAUGUUAUAGUACGUUGUACCUGUGAGGGUGCCUCCCCUUCCCAUACGAACGUGUGCACAUGGGUUUCUAAUAGCUGCAGUAGUGACUUUUUUAACUCGGAGGAUAAAGAUGUCCCUAUCAGGAC
Molecule: long non-coding RNA, 258 nt
Filed under: Zostera marina
Lineage: Eukaryota; Viridiplantae; Streptophyta; Magnoliopsida; Alismatales; Zosteraceae
Description: long non-coding RNA (ZMAR_LNC002191)
Source: RNAcentral